GCCGAUCAUUCCGGCGAUGGUUCUCUGCCGCCCCGCGCGUCAGAGAUGAAAUGGGAACACGGUCCGGCUUUUCCGAAAGCUUAUUCCGUGGCUGCCCCCGCAACUGUAGGUGGUUGCCGUUUUCGAGAUACCACUGGCCUCGGGCUGGGAAGGUGAAAACGGGUAAAUGCCACGAGCCAGGAUACCUGCCAUCAUCACCGGUGAAAG
RNAcentral lists this non-coding RNA (207 nucleotides) under Celeribacter halophilus. Lineage: Bacteria; Pseudomonadati; Pseudomonadota; Alphaproteobacteria; Rhodobacterales; Roseobacteraceae. The record is from RNAcentral.